CCUUCGGGAACCGUGAGACAGGUGCUGCAUGGCUGUCGUCAGCUCGUGUUGUGAAAUGUUGGGUUAAGUCCCGCAACGAGCGCAACCCUUAUCCUUUGUUGCCAGCGGUCCGGCCGGGAACUCAAAGGAGACUGCCAGUGAUAAACUGGAGGAAGGUGGGGAUGACGUCAAGUCAUCAUGGCCCUUACGACCAGGGCUACACACGUGCUACAAUGGCGCAUACAAAGAGAAGCGACCUCGCGAGAGCAAGCGGACCUCAUAAAGUGCGUCGUAGUCCGGAUUGGAGUCUGCAACUCGACUCCAUGAAGUCGGAAUCGCUAGUAAUCGUGGAUCAGAAUGCCACGGUGAAUACGUUCCCGGGCCUUGUACACACCGCCCGUCACACCAUGGGAGUGGGUUGCAAAAGAAGUAGGUAGCUUAACCUUCGGGAGGGCGCUUACCACUUUGUGAUUCAUGACUGGGGUGAAGUCGUAACAAGGUAACCGUAGGGGAACCUGCGGUUGGAUCACCUCCUUACCUUAAAGAAGC
Molecule: ribosomal RNA, 528 nt
Filed under: Shigella sonnei
Lineage: Bacteria; Pseudomonadati; Pseudomonadota; Gammaproteobacteria; Enterobacterales; Enterobacteriaceae
Description: bacterial SSU rRNA
Rfam family: Bacterial small subunit ribosomal RNA
Source: RNAcentral